UUGCUUUGGCAGCACAUAUACUAAAAUUGGAAUGCUACAGAGAAAAUUAGCACGGCCCCUGUACUAGGAUGACAUGCAAAUUUGCGAAGCGUUCCAUAUUUUU
Molecule: small nuclear RNA, 103 nt
Filed under: Dasypus novemcinctus (nine-banded armadillo)
Lineage: Eukaryota; Metazoa; Chordata; Mammalia; Cingulata; Dasypodidae
Source: RNAcentral